CAAAAGAUAAACAGUUAAUGCUCAUAAUAGUAGUCUUGAGACUUGUACCUAACAUCAUAUAUAUAUAUAUAUAUGAUUUGCCUGCUCUAAUCUCUUUAUUGGUUAAAACUAGACAUGAACAUAUAUGCAGCUAAAGCUCAUCAAGUAAAUCUAAAAAAAAAAAUUAUGUUUGACAAUCUAUGUUGCCUCAAGUGGAAGUAUAAGUGGUAGAAUUUAUAUUUUUAAGUAGAUUUAACUAAAUAUCAUCUAUUAGUCCAAUAUCUAGAUAUAGGAAGAUGUGGUAUGAGUGCCAAUGAGACAACUCUCCAUCCAAGUCACAAUUUAUAAAAGUAAUAGAAACCAUUAUAGGUCAAGGUACAGCCUUCAACAUGGAGUCUUGGCUCACACCGAACAGCAAGUUAUAAAGGGCCCCAAAGAUAACUAGUGUAAUACCAUUCAAAUGGGAAAACCAACUGUCUAAUCUAUAUAAAAACUAGAAACUAGAAACUUGAAUGAACUACAUGUACCUAAACAGACGACAACUACUGUACAUCAGAUACUUGUUAAACCAGCAAUUCUAAAACAGUUUAGAUAAUAUUAUGUUUUGUUUUUUUAAAGAUGAAAAUUUAUAGUAUGUCUUUCUUUUAUAUUAUCAUUAUUUCAAUUUUUGG
Molecule: long non-coding RNA, 650 nt
Filed under: Mytilus galloprovincialis (Mediterranean mussel)
Lineage: Eukaryota; Metazoa; Mollusca; Bivalvia; Mytilida; Mytilidae
Source: RNAcentral